GCCACUGGUUGCCUGUGGAAAGGUGGGUUCAGUGUUGACAAUUGUUCUGAGGUAUCAAAAGAAUCUCCAAUCCUUGAUUUUCAUGAGCAAUCUGCUUUCAAAAGGAUUGGCAUUGAAUGCACAGUUUUAAAGUCGUCCGAGGGCUUUCCCCUCUUUCUCAUUAAUAGGCCUCAUGAUGGCCGUGGACUCCCAAUUGUGGCCCUCCUUUUAAGACCCUUGGAGUAGCAGAGGGUGCUUAAUUCUACCCCUUCAUUCUACUUAUGCGGAAGAUGGACCCCGGGUUCAUCUUAAGUCACACACAACGGUGUCUGUGGCAGAGCUAGGAGAGGACUGGUUCUGAGUUCUGCCUCUCUUUCUUUCUCAACACAGAUUCCAGACCGGUGUCAGUUUCCAGAACUGAAGAGCUAUAUGUGCUGAGUGAGGACAUAUUAAGUUUCCUGCUUUCCAUGGAGAAAAGCAAAUGCUACCCUAGCCCUUAAUUAAGGAUGUUAUCAUUGGUGACAGUGAUGUACCUUGAGCAGGGAAUACUGAAAAGAUGAUGAAGAUCAGAGCCAGGACUUGUAAUCCAGCAGCCUGAGUCCGGAACCUGCAGUCACCUACUAUGCUCACUAUUUCCCUACAUUCCCUACAUGAAGAUUUACCAGGCACUGUGCAAAGUCCUUUAUUGGAGAUUGAGAAAGGGCGUCAUCAUCUCCAUCUGAUGAAAAAAAGGAGACACAG
RNAcentral lists this long non-coding RNA (720 nucleotides) under Bos indicus x Bos taurus (hybrid cattle). Its description in RNAcentral is "lncRNA (ENSBIXG00005006295.1)". Lineage: Eukaryota; Metazoa; Chordata; Mammalia; Artiodactyla; Bovidae. The record is from RNAcentral.